This 563-nucleotide ribosomal RNA is filed under the name Enterococcus sp. FBPers-11_16-30. RNAcentral's name for it is "bacterial SSU rRNA". It matches the Rfam family "Bacterial small subunit ribosomal RNA", at positions 101 to 650 of the family's 1533-position model. Lineage: Bacteria; Bacillati; Bacillota; Bacilli; Lactobacillales; Enterococcaceae. The record is from RNAcentral.
AACGGGUGAGUAACACGUGGGUAACCUGCCCAUCAGAAGGGGAUAACACUUGGAAACAGGUGCUAAUACCGUAUAACAAUCGAAACCGCAUGGUUUUGAUUUGAAAGGCGCUUUCGGGUGUCGCUGAUGGAUGGACCCGCGGUGCAUUAGCUAGUUGGUGAGGUAACGGCUCACCAAGGCCACGAUGCAUAGCCGACCUGAGAGGGUGAUCGGCCACAUUGGGACUGAGACACGGCCCAAACUCCUACGGGAGGCAGCAGUAGGGAAUCUUCGGCAAUGGACGAAAGUCUGACCGAGCAACGCCGCGUGAGUGAAGAAGGUUUUCGGAUCGUAAAACUCUGUUGUUAGAGAAGAACAAGGAUGAGAGUAACUGUUCAUCCCUUGACGGUAUCUAACCAGAAAGCCACGGCUAACUACGUGCCAGCAGCCGCGGUAAUACGUAGGUGGCAAGCGUUGUCCGGAUUUAUUGGGCGUAAAGCGAGCGCAGGCGGUUUCUUAAGUCUGAUGUGAAAGCCCCCGGCUCAACCGGGGAGGGUCAUUGGAAACUGGGAGACUUGAGUGCA